CGUCCGGUGGGGGCGGCGGCGGGAGGAAGGGGAGCGGAGGCGGAGGCGCAGCAAGUCAAUGAGGCACGCACGGCGGAGUUAGGUGGCGACACAGCUGUCGGGUGGGGGCAUCGCGUGGCAGAGGAGCGGCUAUCAGGCGGGGGCAUCGCGUGGCAGAGGAGACGGCAGCGGCGGCGAGACGAGGGACGCCCGAGCUCCUCGGCCCAGCUCAACAGAAGGUUUUACAGCUCGAGUCAUACUCAGAUAUGCCCAUCAGUUCAGCAACAUCACAGAUAGAAAAGCAUAUCUGGUCUGAUGGAAUAGAAGAAAGCACAUGUGAACUCAAGAACAAUACAACACAUUACAUAGUGGGGGAGAACAGCCAGUUUGGGGGAAAUAUACUUGUAGAUCAGUAGAAGAUUUGCAAACUGCAACCAUGGCUCAAGGACUGCAACCCUGGAUCACGAAGAUGCAUGAAAAAACACACACAAUUCAGUACAUAAAAUGGUUCCAUGGAUUAAACAUUAAAGCCUCAUUCCCUAACACUGGAAAAUUCAGUAGAAGCUUUGCACAUAGCAGUCAUCGCCGCCAACGAUGUGCAAACCAGAAAAACGGGGAACGUUUGACCUAGGCCAGAAUCUUCAAUCACCGCUCAGUGUGCCACGCGCUGGACAAGCAGGUCAAGAGCAGGGUCCACUUCAAGGAUAUGGAUGACUAUCUGAAGGGAUGCAGGUUUCUUCCCAAACUUAACAACAAGAUACUAGGUGAAAGAAAUGCUCCCUACAAGGAAAGGUUGAGCAGCCUAGAGAAUUUAGUACUGAUCAGGGUACAAGAUAGCGACAGAGUGCUGCAGGAUAAUGAGAUGUUGAAGCAGCGGACUGAAUCCAUGACACCGAAGUGCAAUUGCGGCAGAUUAUCUCUAUCUUUUCUUUUCAUUUUUCUUAUUAUUGAGUGAGAAUAGAAUGAGGAACUGUGUGAUAGUACAUACAACAACUGUAGUAAAAAGAAACUUAUGUUUGCAAUUGUUAAUGACAUAGAUACUUGCAUGUUCUUUGAAGUGGUCAUUUGUGAGUAGCAAUGCAUAAUGAGGUUAUUUUGGCUGAUUUA
Triticum dicoccoides is the source of this 1086-nucleotide RNA transcript. RefSeq lists it as uncharacterized. The transcript has 5 exons. Lineage: Eukaryota; Viridiplantae; Streptophyta; Magnoliopsida; Poales; Poaceae. The record is from RefSeq and is a predicted model, not a curated record.